GACGAACGCUGGCGGCGUGCUUAACACAUGCAAGUCGAACGAUGAAGCCUAGCUUGCUGGGUGGCUUAGUGGCGAACGGGUGAGUAAUACGUGAGUAACCUACUUUAACUCUGGGAUAAGCCUGGGAAACUGGGUCUAAUACCGGAUACGACCAAUCUCCGCAUGGGGUGUUGGUGGAAAGCGUUAUGUAGUGGUUAUAGAUGGGCUCACGGCCUAUCAGCUUGUUGGUGAGGUAACGGCUCACCAAGGCGACGACGGGUAGCCGGCCUGAGAGGGUGACCGGCCACACUGGGACUGAGACACGGCCCAGACUCCUACGGGAGGCAGCAGUGGGGAAUAUUGCACAAUGGGCGCAAGCCUGAUGCAGCGACGCCGCGUGAGGGAUGACGGCCUUCGGGUUGUAAACCUCUGUUAGCAGGGAAGAAGAGAGAUUGACGGUACCUGCAGAGAAAGCGCCGGCUAACUACGUG
Molecule: ribosomal RNA, 470 nt
Filed under: uncultured bacterium
Lineage: Bacteria
Description: partial 16S ribosomal RNA
Rfam family: Bacterial small subunit ribosomal RNA
Source: RNAcentral